RNAcentral lists this ribosomal RNA (404 nucleotides) under Actinomycetes bacterium. RNAcentral describes it as "Actinobacteria bacterium partial 16S ribosomal RNA". It matches the Rfam family "Bacterial small subunit ribosomal RNA", at positions 355 to 776 of the family's 1533-position model. The record is from RNAcentral. Lineage: Bacteria; Bacillati; Actinomycetota; Actinomycetes.
UGGGGAAUAUUGGACAAUGGGCGCAAGCCUGAUCCAGCCAUGCCGCGUGAGUGAUGAAGGCCCUAGGGUUGUAAAGCUCUUUCACCGGGGAAGAUAAUGACGGUAACCGGAGAAGAAGCCCCGGCUAACUUCGUGCCAGCAGCCGCGGUAAUACGAAGGGGGCUAGCGUUGUUCGGAUUUACUGGGCGUAAAGCGCACGUAGGCGGACUUUUAAGUCAGGGGUGAAAUCCCGGGGCUCAACCCCGGAACUGCCUUUGAUACUGGAAGUCUUGGGGAUGGUAGAGGUGGGUCGAGUUCCGACUUUUGAGGUGAAAAUCGUAGAUAUUCGGUGGAACACCAGUGGCGAAGGCGGCUCACUGGACCAUUACUGACGCUGAGGUGCGAAAGCGGGGGGAGCGAACAGG